This 465-nucleotide ribosomal RNA is filed under the name uncultured Streptococcus sp. RNAcentral describes it as "bacterial SSU rRNA". It matches the Rfam family "Bacterial small subunit ribosomal RNA", at positions 338 to 795 of the family's 1533-position model. The record is from RNAcentral. Lineage: Bacteria; Bacillati; Bacillota; Bacilli; Lactobacillales; Streptococcaceae.
CCUACGGGUGGCAGCAGUAGGGAAUCUUCGGCAAUGGACGGAAGUCUGACCGAGCAACGCCGCGUGAGUGAAGAAGGUUUUCGGAUCGUAAAGCUCUGUUGUAAGAGAAGAACGAGUGUGAGAGUGGAAAGUUCACACUGUGACGGUAUCUUACCAGAAAGGGACGGCUAACUACGUGCCAGCAGCCGCGGUAAUACGUAGGUCCCGAGCGUUGUCCGGAUUUAUUGGGCGUAAAGCGAGCGCAGGCGGUUAGAUAAGUCUGAAGUUAAAGGCUGUGGCUUAACCAUAGUAGGCUUUGGAAACUGUUUAACUUGAGUGCAAGAGGGGAGAGUGGAAUUCCAUGUGUAGCGGUGAAAUGCGUAGAUAUAUGGAGGAACACCGGUGGCGAAAGCGGCUCUCUGGCUUGUAACUGACGCUGAGGCUCGAAAGCGUGGGGAGCAAACAGGAUUAGAUACCCCAGUAGUC